Molecule: long non-coding RNA, 2967 nt
Filed under: Podarcis lilfordi (Lilford's wall lizard)
Lineage: Eukaryota; Metazoa; Chordata; Lepidosauria; Squamata; Lacertidae
Source: RNAcentral
CUUCCGGAGGCGGAGCCAACGGUAAUGGCUGCUUCUCUCUAACUUGGAGAGAACUAGCUCUACGGAAUUUGGGUCCUGUCGCUACGGCGCAGCGGGGACCCCCAAAUAAAUCACAGGCGGGUGAAGCCUGUGAACGUGGGACUCAGCGGGCACCGUUUGCGCCCCCCCAAUUGCUAAAGGAGCUCGGCAACGGGCUCCGGAGCGGAGCGGGGUGGCGUGGUGCUGUGAGCAAAUUGCUUCUUCCGUGGAGUGAAGCCGCGAAGCUGUUACCGGAGAGCUCUGCCUUUUUUCCUGGGAUAAUUGGCACUGAAAACAACUACCCGUGAGUAAAUUGGAUUUAAAGGGGGGGGGGGGAUAUAAUUUGGCACGAGCGGGGAACGUACAAGCAGGAAGUCUACCUUCCCUGAAUUGUAAAUAGAUCAAAGCAAAGAGACUUCAAAGCAGAAACUCGGACAGUCACUUAAAUGUGCUAAAUUCCAACAUCUUGAAAAGGGUUCCCUCCGGAUUGCAGGAGAGGAGGGGAAAAAGACUGAGCUGAAUUUCCUGCAGUAAAGAAGGGGAGAGGAAGGAAGAAUUUACAAUUUAAGAUUCAGAACGGACUGCCUUAAGAUAGAGGUUUAUAGUGAAAGUUUGCUCUGACAGCCAAUUCUGCAAAAGUGAUACAGUGUUUUCGAACCUCUUUUGGCUUAAAAGUAACUGUUUAAAUGUAUUGAGACUGUGGAUUUCGAAAGUAAAUUGGGGGAUUUAUAAAGACUAUUUUUGUUUCUAAAAAGUUACAAGUUCUGGCUGUUACUGUGUCCCCCUAGAGGAGAUUGGACAUUGUUACAACAAUAGUUACAAAGAGGAAAUUUCCAUUCUAUGUCAAAACAACUGGGUGAAUGUGGGAGCGACCUUGAAUGUCUAUGAGACUGUGAUGGCAGAGGAUAAGAAGGAUAAUAAGGCGGAACCGCAGGAAAAAAUUACUAGGUCUGGCAGACAUUAUCGGAUAGAUACUGCGUUGCCGCGAAGGGGCUCAACAUCUGGAGCAUCAGGAGCAUCAGGGGCCCCACUCCCACAGUCUAAAUCAAAAGUUAUGACAUCAGAAGAAGUUUUGGCACAGGCUCUGGCAAAAAUUAAUGAAUCUUUGGAAAGCCUAAGUAAACAGGUAAUUGAGACAAAUAGACAAGUAACAGAAACAAAUAGGCAAGUAGUUGAGACAAAUAGACAAGUUGUGGAAGCAUCAAAUAAAAUUGAUUUAAAUACUGCAAGUAUAAAUACCUUGGGACAGAAGGUGAAUGCCAACACAGAGACUAUCGAAAAAUUAUUACAGGAAUCUGCCUUGAUUCGACAAACUGCACAGGAAGCAAAAGAUAUUGCAAUUGCUACUCAGGAGAAAAUUCCACCUGUAUAUAAGAAAUUGGAGGACCAUGAUGUGACAUUUUCCAUGUUUGAAUUGAAAGAUAGACAGAGAAAUCUGAGAAUUAGGGCUGUUCCAGAGCGGGAGAAAGAUAAUCUGGCUGACUUUCUUACACAGGAAUUUACAGAUUUUUGGCAAUUGGACCCGGGAAGGAAGAAUUCAAGAUAGUGAAUGCAUUUAGGCUUGGAAGAAGACAAGGCAAGGGCAAGGUGAGAGACUGUUUGAUUACCUUUCGAACAAAAGAAGAGAGAGAUAAAAUUCUGAAUUUGCACUAUCAAAAAAACUUUGGAAAUUGAUGACUCAAGUCUAGUGAUUUUUAAGGACAUCCCAAAGCAUUUGCUGGACUUAAGGUCCAAUUAUGGAGACCUAGUGACCUUAUUGAAAAGAAACAGAAUUCUUUUCAGGUGGGAAUUUCCGCAAGGCCUGUCCUUUAAAUAUAAAGGGAGAAAGAUAAAAAUAAAAUCAACUGAGGAAAAAGACAGAUUCUUGAAAGACCACGAGGAAGAUCUACUGAAAGAAGGGGAAUCUGAAGAAGAACCAAAAGGCAUACUAGACAUAUCAAAUUUAUCUUUUGGACUGCACGGUCCAGAAAAAGUGAUACUACCCACAGAACAAGAAGCGGCACUUGGGGCAGUUGGAGGUAAAGUGAAGUAGCCCCCACCAUGGCUCUGCAACUAUUAAGCUGGAAUUGUAACGGUUUGAAUUCUCCGCGAAAAAGAAAAAGUGUGUUUCAUUUAUUAAAAAAAGAACAAUUGGACUUGAUUUGUCUACAAGAGACACAUAUAAUAAGGGCACAUAGGAAGUUAUUGAUUAAUAAAAGAUUAGGACAGGAGUUUGUCUCAUCUGACAAAGUUAAAAAAGAGGAGUCGUGAUUUAUGCAAAGGAGAGACUUUUACCGAAAUUUAUCUUUAAAGAUGAUCAAGGAAGAUUUUUGGCAAUUGAAAUUCAACUACAAGGAGAGAAAUUCUUAAUCGUGGGAAUUUAUGCACCGAACGAGGGGAAAUCUGAAUUCUAUAAAAAGUUGCAUGAGACUUUAUUGGAUCAUUUGGACUAUAAUUUGAUUCUGAUGGGGGACAUGAAUGGAGUAGUAUCUACAAAUAUGGACAAGGCUCAAAGACAGGUAGUCACCAAGGAUGGUAGACUACCGAAAACAUUUUUUGAGAUGACAGACAAUAUGGACUUAGUGGACAUCUGGAGGGUAAAGAACCCCCUGGGAAGAGAAGGAACCUUUUUUUCUGAAGCCAAGAUGACAUGGACUAGAAUUGACCAAAUAUGGAUAACUAGAGGAAUGGCACCAAAGAUAAAGAAGGUAGAAAUCUGCCCAAAAACUUGUUCCGACCAUAAUGCUGUAAGGAUGGAGAUGAAACAAACAACAACCGGAUCCUUCAGAUGGAGGAUGAAUGACACCUUAUUUAGAGAUGAAGAAGUUUACAAAAAGGCCCAAAAGACUUUGAGAGAUUAUUUUGAAAUAAAUAUGAAUACCAAUGUAGAAAAAAGAGUAAUCUGGGACGCAAGCAAAGCUGUGAUGAGAGGGUUUUUGAUACAACAGAAUGCAAUAAAGAAGAGAAGUC